GAUGAACGCUGGCGGCGUGCCUAAUACAUGCAAGUCGAGCGAACGGACGAGAAGCUUGCUUCUCUGAUGUUAGCGGCGGACGGGUGAGUAACACGUGGAUAACCUACCUAUAAGACUGGGAUAACUUCGGGAAACCGGAGCUAAUACCGGAUAAUAUUUUGAACCGCAUGGUUCAAAAGUGAAAGACGGUCUUGCUGUCACCUAUAGAUGGAUCCGCGCUGCAUUAGCUAGUUGGUAAGGUAACGGCUUACCAAGGCAACGAUGCAUAGCCGACCUGAGAGGGUGAUCGGCCACACUGGAACUGAGACACGGUCCAGACUCCUACGGGAGGCAGCAGUAGGGAAUCUUCCGCAAUGGGCGAAAGCCUGACGGAGCAACGCCGCGUGAGUGAUGAAGGUCUUCGGAUCGUAAAACUCUGUUAUUAGGGAAGAACAUAUGUGUAAGUAACUGUGCACAUCUUGACGGUACCUAAUCAGAAAGCCACGGCUAACUACGUGCCAGCAGCCGCGGUAAUACGUAGGUGGCAAGCGUUAUCCGGAAUUAUUGGGCGUAAAGCGCGCGUAGGCGGUUUUUUAAGUCUGAUGUGAAAGCCCACGGCUCAACCGUGGAGGGUCAUUGGAAACUGGAAAACUUGAGUGCAGAAGAGGAAAGUGGAAUUCCAUGUGUAGCGGUGAAAUGCGCAGAGAUAUGGAGGAACACCAGUGGCGAAGGCGACUUUCUGGUCUGUAACUGACGCUGAUGUGCGAAAGCGUGGGGAUCAAACAGGAUUAGAUACCCUGGUAGUCCACGCCGUAAACGAUGAGUGCUAAGUGUUAGGGGGUUUCCGCCCCUUAGUGCUGCAGCUAACGCAUUAAGCACUCCGCCUGGGGAGUACGACCGCAAGGUUGAAACUCAAAGGAAUUGACGGGGACCCGCACAAGCGGUGGAGCAUGUGGUUUAAUUCGAAGCAACGCGAAGAACCUUACCAAAUCUUGACAUCCUUUGACAACUCUAGAGAUAGAGCCUUCCCCUUCGGGGGGGGCAAAGUGACAGGUGGUGCAUGGUUGUCGUCAGCUCGUGUCGUGAGAUGUUGGGUUAAGUCCCGCAACGAGCGCAACCCUUAAGCUUAGUUGCCAUCAUUAAGUUGGGCACUCUAAGUUGACUGCCGGUGACAAACCGGAGGAAGGUGGGGAUGACGUCAAAUCAUCAUGCCCCUUAUGAUUUGGGCUACACACGUGCUACAAUGGACAAUACAAAGGGCAGCGAAACCGCGAGGUCAAGCAAAUCCCAUAAAGUUGUUCUCAGUUCGGAUUGUAGUCUGCAACUCGACUACAUGAAGCUGGAAUUGCUAGUAAUCGUAGAUCAGCAUGCUACGGUGAAUACGUUCCCGGGUCU
Molecule: ribosomal RNA, 1374 nt
Filed under: uncultured bacterium
Lineage: Bacteria
Description: bacterial SSU rRNA
Rfam family: Bacterial small subunit ribosomal RNA
Source: RNAcentral